This 406-nucleotide ribosomal RNA is filed under the name uncultured bacterium. Its description in RNAcentral is "partial 16S ribosomal RNA". It matches the Rfam family "Bacterial small subunit ribosomal RNA", at positions 29 to 526 of the family's 1533-position model. The record is from RNAcentral.
AUUGAACGCUGGCGGCAGGCCUAACACAUGCAAGUCGAACGAGUGGCGGACGGGUGAGUAAUGUCUGGGAAACUGCCUGAUGGAGGGGGAUAACUACUGGAAACGGUAGCUAAUACCGCAUACCAUCAGAUGUGCCCAGAUGGGAUUAGCUUGUUGGUGGGGUAACGGCUCACCAAGGCGACGAUCCCUAGCUGGUCUGAGAGGAUGACCAGCAAAACUGGAACGGAGAAACGGUCAAGACUCCUAGGGGAGGCAGAAGUGGGGAAUAUUGCACAAUGGGGGAAAGCCGGAUGCAGCCAUGCCGCGGGUAGGAAGAAGGCCUUCGGUUUGUAAAGUACUUUCAGCGGGGAGGCGUUACCCGCAGAAGAAGCACCGGCUAACUCCGUGCCAGCAGCCGCGGUAAUAC